Molecule: ribosomal RNA, 495 nt
Filed under: uncultured bacterium
Lineage: Bacteria
Description: bacterial SSU rRNA
Rfam family: Bacterial small subunit ribosomal RNA
Source: RNAcentral
GAUGAACGCUGGCGGCGUGCCUAACACAUGCAAGUCGAACGAGAAGCUAACUUCUGAUUCCUUCGGGGAGAUGAAGUUGGUAGAAAGUGGCGAACGGGUGAGUAACGCGUGGGUAAUCUACCCUGUUAGUGGGGGAUAACCCUCCGAAAGGAGGGCUAAUACCGCAUAAGGUCUUCACUUCUUAAGAAGUAAAGAUUAAAGAUGGCCUCUAUACUAUGCUAUCGCUUCAGGAUGAGCCCGCGUCCUAUUAGUUAGUUGGUGGGGUAAUGGCCUACCAAGACCACAAUGGGUAGCCGGUCUGAGAGGAUGUACGGCCACACUGGGACAGAGAUACGGCCCAGACUCCUACGGGAGGCAGCAGUGGGGAAUCUUGCGCAAUGGGGGAAACCCUGACGCAGCGACGCCGCGUGGAUGAUGAAGGCCUUUGGGUUGUAAAAUCCUGUUCUGGGGGAAGAAACCUUAAGGGUCCAAUAAACCCUUAAGCUGACGGUACCC